UACGGAGGAUGCGAGCGUUAUCCGGAUUUAUUGGGUUUAAAGGGUGCGUAGGCGGUCCGGAAAGUCAGCGGUAAAAGCCCGGGGCUCAACCCCGGCGAGCCGUUGAAACUGUCGGACUAGAGACGGCGAGAAGUACGCGGAAUGCGCGGUGUAGCGGUGAAAUGCAUAGAUAUCGCGCAGAACUCCGAUUGCGAAGGCAGCGUACCGGCGCCGGACUGACGCUGAGGCACGAAAGCGUGGGUAUCGAA
RNAcentral lists this ribosomal RNA (248 nucleotides) under uncultured Muribaculaceae bacterium. Its description in RNAcentral is "partial 16S ribosomal RNA". It matches the Rfam family "Bacterial small subunit ribosomal RNA", at positions 524 to 772 of the family's 1533-position model. The record is from RNAcentral. Lineage: Bacteria; Pseudomonadati; Bacteroidota; Bacteroidia; Bacteroidales; Muribaculaceae.